AGCGAACGCUGGCGGCAGGCCUAACACAUGCAAGUCGAACGGAUCCUUCGGGAUUAGUGGCGGACGGGUGAGUAACACGUGGGAACGUGCCCUUUGGUUCGGAACAACUCAGGGAAACUUGAGCUAAUACCGGAUGUGCCCUUCGGGGGAAAGAUUUAUCGCCAUUGGAGCGGCCCGCGUCUGAUUAGCUAGUUGGUGAGGUAACGGCCCACCAAGGCGACGAUCAGUAGCUGGUCUGAGAGGAUGAUCAGCCACACUGGGACUGAGACACGGCCCAGACUCCUACGGGAGGCAGCAGUGGGGAAUCUUGCGCAAUGGGCGAGAGCCUGACGCAGCCAUGCCGCGUGAAUGAUGAAGGUCUUAGGAUUGUAAAAUUCUUUCAGCGGGGACGAUAAUGACGGUACCCGCAGAAGAAGCUCCGGCUAACUUCGUG
This 433-nucleotide ribosomal RNA is filed under the name uncultured bacterium. RNAcentral describes it as "partial 16S ribosomal RNA". It matches the Rfam family "Bacterial small subunit ribosomal RNA", at positions 29 to 507 of the family's 1533-position model. The record is from RNAcentral.